CCCCCUCUUUCUUUCAUAUCGGAAGGUGUUUGAUUUUGCUUUUGUUUGGGUGUUUGAUUUGAGGUGACAGUUGGCUUGGUUGUGAAUGGGCCAUGGCGAAGCCUCCAUUGCAUGAGGUGCUACCAUGUGGAAAGGCCUGAUGGAUCUUGUUGAAUGCCACUGUGUGGGGCUCUGUGGGGGAGUGGUCCGAGGGCAAUCAACCAGAAACUGCCCCCAGUGACAGCCAUGAGAGAGGGAACAAUCCGGGCCUCAGCCAAUAGUGGGAGUAAUUGGUCAAUCAGAUCUUCACACCUUCAAUCAGUCAUCAAGGCAAUGAUGUUGAUUUCUUUUCAACUAGAAAAAUAAUCAUGUCGAGUGAGGACUCUAGUAUGAUUUUUCUGUCUUUCGACCAAAUCAGCCUUCCAUAGCUUCAAGACAUUACAGAGAAAUUGGAGAGUAAAUUGUAUACUAUAGCACCAGUAUGUUUGAAAAACACGUUAUUCAUCUGGUGAUCAAUGGCCUAAACAGGGUUUUAAUCACAUUUACUCGGCUAAAUUUAUACAUUUGAAUUCUGCUUUGAUAACAAACACAAUACUUACACCAAUAUGGCACGUCUGACUAGACUGAAACUCCUGUUGGAGCGUUUGUAUAGCAACAACACUCACAAUGUCAAUUUUAGCAGGUUGUGCAGCGGUUCCUGCCUGCUGCAUUGCAGGUGCUGAGUGAGACAUUUGAGCUCAGGGCUCAGCGAGGGAACGAGAGAGACGAGGGCCUUGACAGGAAGUGACAGGCGGUGAUGUCACCUCCUCCGGUGGCACAGUGGUACCUGGCUCUUUGUCUGUUUUCCCUAGCUACUGUCAUUACCAACGGAAGAAUCCAGGGGAACUGGAACAAGGCCCCAACGACUGUUCUUGGCUGUUAUCUGUGGUUGUAUAGCUAUAUACAUGCCGUUGUGGCUGUUAAUGUGACAAAUUGGCCUUUUACAAAGUGUUAUGCAAGUAAAAUUUGAUUGAAUGAAAACAUUUAUGGGUAGAGAUUUUAGCAAAGUUAGAUUAGCUUUCUGACAUCAGUUUGUAUUUAUUUUUCAGGCAGUAAUAACGUUUUUUUUCUCUCCAAUUAGCUACAAUUUGUACGAUAAGCAUGAAUACUAUUUGAAGAGAAGAUGAUAUGAAGUCAGUGACAGACUCCCAUAAAGGCGUUUACAGAAGUCAAUGGACCCACCCAGACAAAGGAGAUUAAGUUUGGUAACUUAGCAGUAACAGGUGUACUUUGACUUGGUUCGGACCACACCGGAGGUGGGUGCUAUUGUUGGACCCGUUGUUCUGUUUCCUCCCUGACAGUUUCGACUUGUGUGGAGAUAAAGAUGGAACUGCUUUACGGCCUUUGACAAUCUGCUUUAUAUGUUUCCUCUUGGAAGUUAGUGCUGGGAGUUUGUUUGGUCUAGAUGUCCAAGAUCAGUCUCUUAUCAUUUCUCAGUCUUUGAAAAUACUUCUCAGUUUUGCUACAAUUCAUCAUUGAUUUGCCAAGAACUCUCCAAAGGGAGACAGGAGUUAUGUUUAGAUCUCCCUCCACUGUUGCCCCAGGGAGCUAGUGAAGGGUAAACAAUCCAAAUAGAGAAAUAUCAGAAGGAUUACAGAACACUAUACAUUCUAGCAUUUAGAGCAAUGUGCUCAACUGGAAAUGUUUUAACAUAGGAUGCAUUUUUACAAAAAAAGCUAAUAAUAUUCUGAAUAUUUUAACAGUUAGGAAAAAGAGCCUCUCAACAAAAAGAGAAAGAUUACAUUUUCAGAAGUUGGGCAAGUAUUGGACAAACUGAAACUAACUAUUUCAGUCUUCAACCAAGCUUUUGGACAGAGCCUGACAGAGCCCCAGUCCACAGAAGGCCAUUCUGGUGAAAUUACUUGUCAGAACGUCAUGUGAAGGGGCUGUUCAGACCGAAGCGGCUUUGGCAGCCAUUGUCUUGUUCUCACUCACACACCUUCGAGUCCAGAGUAAGCACACAAUUGCAUUGUUCCCUGAGCUGUUAAUAUCAGAGGCUUCACAAUGGAGCCCAUUCGCCAUAUUUGCAUAUGGCACUUUUCCAACAAGGACUCAGAGCGGGCUUGAAAGCCGGCCCACUUUAGUGCCAAUGGCAAAAAAAUGUCAAGUGCCAAUUAGGAGAGGUUUGCCACCAUUCAGUGGUACCCCACCCCCUCUUCUACUGCCCCUCCCUUCCUCCUAGCCUACUCUCUCAUACUCCCAAGCCCCUUCCCUUCACCCCUAUCCCUACUCCCCCAUUACAGCCUAAAAAAUAGUGUCUCCCUACUGGCACCCUGAAACAAAAGCUGCCUCCUUCCUCAAGCCUGAGAGUGAAAACAGACAGCAGCUCUCUCCUCCCCGAUUAGUCUGCUCGUUGGUUCACCAAAUGUCAUGUAUAGGCUAGGCUGGUAGCUAGUUAGUAGAUUCCAACCCACAUUGGUGGAGUUAGUUUGUAGCUCUUGGGUUACUUGCAUGUCUAGCUUGGCCAGAGAAUGACAUGGAAAAGCACCACUACAAUAUGUUUGACUAGUUUGAGUUUGUGCUAAAAGAAUGCGAAGGCUAACAUAAUAGCUCCAGCAACCUCUAUCAACCUCUUCAUCAACCUCUUCAUCAGCAUGUUGAUACUGUAGCAUUGUUGUCUUUGUUAUAAUGAAGUUUCACAACAUUUGAUCUCAUACAGCCAACCAUCUGUGACUCCAACAGCAUAUUUCAGACAGCAAUCCCCUUCUAGGUCACAGUCUUUCUCCCACUGUAUUAUAUUAUAUUUUCAUAUGUGAUCACAUAACCUUUCAUGUGAUUUUGGUACAACUUACAGUACAUGUGGGGUUAUUGCACAUUUACAUUUUAGUCAUUUAGCAGACGCUCUUAUCCAGAGCGACUUACAGUAAUGAAUGCAUACAUUUCAUUUCAUGCAUUAUUUUUGUACUGGCCCCCCGUGGGAAUCGAACCCACAACCCUGGCGUUGCACACACCAUGCUCUACCAACUGAGCCACAGGGAAGGCCCCAAGGCAUAUGAUUACAUAGGUGAUGCCCUGCAAACAAAAGGUCCCACAGCCGCAGUGUUUUCAAUUGACAUAUUUGACACAAAUGAUUACAUCGUGUAUGUUUAUUUAUACAGUAAUUAUUAUUUAACAUGUCCUCACCUGGGAUAUGAACUCACAACCUCUUGGUUCACGGCAUUAUGUACAAUCUUCCUUUCUACACCACCAUGUCUGUGUCAGUAACUGAUUUCACCUCUAUUCCUACACUUUGUACUUCAAAGUAAAUCUCAGCUUUGUUAAUAAUACACCAUUAUAUUUAUCAUAGUGAUUCAGGACAAAGUAAAUAAAUGCCCCACCAACGUUAGACAACUAUACAGAAAACCCACAAAUUGAUGAAAUAAGUGAAGGAAAUCAAUGAUGAGAUAAUAGUCAGAUUAAUUUAGAACUAAAAUAGCAGUGCAGAUGGCACUUUUUUGCUAAUUGCAGAGAUGCAUUGUAGGUAAUUAAUCUGUAGAGGACUUCUGAGAAUACUACAGACUUUGUGACACAGCAGAAAGAUCAGCGU
This 3544-nucleotide long non-coding RNA is filed under the name Salmo salar (Atlantic salmon). Its description in RNAcentral is "lncRNA (ENSSSAG00000092117.1)". Lineage: Eukaryota; Metazoa; Chordata; Actinopteri; Salmoniformes; Salmonidae. The record is from RNAcentral.